AUAAAAUUGAAAAAUUUUUAGGGACAGUGGCAAAAAACAAAAAAAAAAGACUUCGCACUUCUUUACGGUUACACUCUAAAUUAAAAAUUUUUAUAAUUACUUUCUAAAAAAAAAAAAUAAUUACACCCUUUAAAAUCAAGGUACAAGAUCCAUGCUGACAGUUCUCUUUAAGAUCAUUGCUGGGUGUUCUAGACUAUCUCAAAAAAAAAAAGUUUUCAAUGCUGGGAGUUCUCUGUAAGAUCAAGGUCUCCUUAAGAUCAAUGCUGGGAGUUCUAGUAGUCUAUAAACUUGGCUUAGCUUCCAGGAUCUUGUGUGUCUCUUCAUCAGCAACAAAAUCAUGUAUCUUCAUCUGAUCGAGAACCGCAGUGACUGAUUUUCCAGCAGCAAUAUAAGUCCUUACUAAUCUAUGAUAUAUAUCCCUGGUUAGAAGUUCCGAGCGCUUUAAUGACUUUAUAAUUUCCUCCAUUCCUUCAGCAUCUCCUUGUGCUUCCAAGUAAUUCAAACAUGCAGUCAAAGUGGUGGGAUUUGGCUUCCAACCAUUCCUUGAUAUUAAUGCUCUCUUCAACAUCUCGACUGCCUUGGAUAUUUGAUUGUAUUCUUUAUACCCCAUUGCCAAUACGCUCCAGGUGGAUGCAUAGGGGGUUCUUCCCUCUGCAGCUUUCUCUACAGCUGCUUCAGCUUUCUCAAAAAGCCCCUUUUUGCAAUAAGCAAUCAGAAGACUAUUUAGCAUACGAAAGUUAUAAACGGUGCACUGGGACUCCCACUCCUCAAAGAUCUUUUCAGCACCCUCAAUAUCAUCCAGCUUUGAGAGAGAUGCAAUCAUGCAGCCAAAUGCUGUGUCUCUUGAUUCUAUUAACGGCUUGUAUGUCUUCCAGACUCGGUAAAGCUCAUCUUUUUUACCAGUUUCUGCAUACUGUGUCAGAAGAAAAUUAAACGCUACUGUCUUCCUUUUAGAGGUCAUCAUCAUUCCCUCCAUUUUCCUUAACUUCGUCAAAGCUUUGUCAAUUGACCCAAAUUUCAGAUACCCACUUGCAGCAAUUGAAUACACUUCCCAGUCAAGACCAAGCCGAGGAUUCUCUUCUAUCUGAUUCAAGAUUCUUUCCAUUUCAGAAAUGUCAGACACAGCAACACAAGUGGCCAUUAGGUUCCUCAUUGUGUACUUAUCUUGAGGGAUUCCACUUGUUUCCAUUUGCUGUACCAAUAUAUCGAUUUUCUUAAGGUCUCCAGUUUUAGCAUAAAGGUUGAUAAGUAUGUUAUAGGGAAAAGAUGAUGUUGCCAUUCCCUUCUCUCUCAUUUCCUGCAUAAUAGCUUCCGCUUUCUGAACAUAAUUUUCUUGCACAUAGCCGAUGAGAAGAGCACCAUAGACAUGGUAAGUUUUCAACUUAUCUGAAAGUUUCUUGAAAUAAGUUUCUGCAUGUACGGAUCCAUAAAUUCUGUUGAUCAAGUCCAACCUAACAGCAGUAUCAAUAGGUGAUAAUGGCAAGUACCUACGAUCCGUCAUCCAAUGUGAUAUCUGAAAAACAGGAGGAAAAGAUAGGUCAGGAAUUGACAAUAUAAUUAACAUGAAGGAACAAUUUAAUUGUUUAUUCAUGGUUAAAUGCGAGAAAAUAAUGAUUCAUGUAUACAAUGCCAAUUACUUGAGGAAUUAAGGUAGCAUGCUCAAACACGUCAUCUACAUCACUCUACGGUCCAUAACCAUGUUGGAGCCUGAAUGCUUCAAUAGUAGGUUAAAUGUGGUGAAUAGUGAAUAAAAUCCUCAUCAACUGUAAGGCCAUCUUGGUCAUGGAGUAAAGCCAUUGAAAUAGUUGAUGCUACAAAAUUAAAGCUAAAACAUAUCAAAUUAUGAUUUGGGAAUCUUGAACUAAUCAUAUUGUAAGCCUUAAACACCCACUACAUGGCACAUGAACCAGAACAUUACUGCUAAACAGUGUAUAAAUGGCAAAUUUAACGGUUAAUCUCAGAUUGAUGCUGACAUAUUAAAUUUAUGAACAUUUGAGAGGCGGAAACAGCAAAUACACAUUUAAAAUGACUUACCUUUAACCACAGAGCUCAGAUACAUAAAAUGAUUUCAACCCCCCUAUUGCAAAUUCACAAAACAAUUAUUGGACAAUGAGAACUUCAAGAUUUAGGGAUUAAGUUAAGAAAAUCAAACCAAGUUAUGCAAAAAUGUUUAAGCUUUGUAGUUCCAUGAAUGAUUCACAAAUUCACUUAAUCCAUGUAAUUUGAAUUAGCAGGAUCUACAAAAGAAAAUCAUCAUACCAAAAGAGGUAGAAUUUUAUCCAUUAAUGGUUUAUGCUAAUUCGAAGAAAGACGAAAACAGGAAGGGGAAAAAAAAAGGACCUCUAAAGCAUGAUUGAAGCGCCUAUAACACUUCAUGCGCCGAACAAGAUACUGAAGCUGUUCUUUUUGAACAGUGUUUCCUUCACUGACCCAUUUCUCGAGCACUGGUGCUACUGAGGCUUUUGGGUCUCUAACGCGUUCAAUCCGACGAUACAAUGCUAAAACUCGUGGAGAAGAAGAAGAGGGACGGUAAGGUUGGGUUUGGGCUUUAGUGGAGAAGAGUGAAGCUAAAACCCUUGAACAAAUGUAGAUUUGGCGAACCGUAAGUGAUCUGGGAAACGAUUUGGUUGAGAAAUGAAGCUUCAUUUCGUCCCUCUUUGAGAUUUCCCAGCGAUCAGAACUCAGAAGAGGGUUCAAGACUUGGGUUAGUUUACA
Molecule: unclassified non-coding RNA, 2715 nt
Filed under: Hevea brasiliensis (rubber tree)
Lineage: Eukaryota; Viridiplantae; Streptophyta; Magnoliopsida; Malpighiales; Euphorbiaceae
Source: RNAcentral